UCCGACUUUGUGAAAUGA
Molecule: small nuclear RNA, 18 nt
Filed under: Arabidopsis thaliana (thale cress)
Lineage: Eukaryota; Viridiplantae; Streptophyta; Magnoliopsida; Brassicales; Brassicaceae
Description: snRNA_01995
Source: RNAcentral